RNAcentral lists this small RNA (174 nucleotides) under Pongo abelii (Sumatran orangutan). RNAcentral's name for it is "retained intron". Lineage: Eukaryota; Metazoa; Chordata; Mammalia; Primates; Hominidae. The record is from RNAcentral.
GGUAACAGAUGCUGACAGGUCAAUACUAUCUCCAGGUGGAAGUUGUGGCCCCAUCAAAGUGAAAACUGAACCCACAGAAGAUUCUGCAGGCCCUUCUGAAACUGAUGAUGUUGAUGAAAAACAGCCCCUAUCGAAGCCUUUGCAAGGUAUAAUCUUUUCACUUCCAUUCUCCCA